This 470-nucleotide ribosomal RNA is filed under the name uncultured bacterium. RNAcentral describes it as "bacterial SSU rRNA". It matches the Rfam family "Bacterial small subunit ribosomal RNA", at positions 30 to 497 of the family's 1533-position model. The record is from RNAcentral.
AUUGAACGCUGGCGGCAUGCCUUACACAUGCAAGUCGAACGGCAGCGGACCUUCGGGUGCCGGCGAGUGGCGAACGGGUGAGUAAUAUAUCGGAACGUACCUUUCAGUGGGGGAUAACGUAGCGAAAGUUACGCUAAUACCGCAUAUUCUGUGAGCAGGAAAGCAGGGGAUCGCAAGACCUUGCGCUGAUUGAGCGGCCGAUAUCAGAUUAGCUAGUUGGUGAGGUAAAGGCUCACCAAGGCGACGAUCUGUAGCGGGUCUGAGAGGAUGAUCCGCCACACUGGAACUGAGACACGGUCCAGACUCCUACGGGAGGCAGCAGUGGGGAAUUUUGGACAAUGGGCGCAAGCCUGAUCCAGCCAUGCCGCGUGAGUGAAGAAGGCCUCGGUUGUAAGCUCUUCGUCCGGGACGAAGUACGCACAGGUAAUACCUCGUGUGGAUGACGGUACCGGAAGUAAGAAGACACCGGC